GCGGCGGUAGCUCAGUGGUGGAGCCCCCGCUUCGCGUUGGGGGGGAGACACGGGUUCAAUUCCCGGCUGCUUCC
RNAcentral lists this transfer RNA (74 nucleotides) under Toxocara canis (dog roundworm). It matches the Rfam family "tRNA". From Rfam's summary of the family: Transfer RNA (tRNA) molecules are approximately 80 nucleotides in length. Their secondary structure includes four short double-helical elements and three loops (D, anti-codon, and T loops). The record is from Rfam by way of RNAcentral. Lineage: Eukaryota; Metazoa; Nematoda; Chromadorea; Rhabditida; Toxocaridae.